CGGCGAGGGGGACACCGAGGGGACAGCGAGGGGGACAGCACAGUGGACGGCGAGGGUGGCGGCGAGGGUGACACCGAGGGGACGGCGCAGGGUACAGCGCCAGGGACAGCACAGGGGGCAGCGCAGGGGACACCGUGCACCGCUGCCGGGGCCUCCCACCGCCGUCCGAGGCCAGCACAUUCCUGAGUGUGCGGCUCGCGACCCCUGCACGGAGGCCUGGUCGUGCGGGGAGGAGCAGGACCUCGGACCCACGGUGGCGCCGCCCGGGCCAGGUCCCCAGCCCGCCGCAGGGCCCGAGGAGCCGGGUGCCAGCCUGUCCCGCAAGUGUGGUCCCAGCUGCUCAGUGGGGACACUCCUGCGGGAGCGGGGCUCCGGGAAGCACAGCAUCCUCACCGGGGGUUGGCGACCCGGCCGCGUGUCUCCGAGUGGCCGCUCCGUCACCUUUCUCCACGGUACCAACCCACGGGUCGUCCAGAGUGUAUGCGUGCACUCAUGACUUAAAAAAUACAUUUUAUUUAUUUAUGAGAGAGAGAGAGAGAGACAGAGAGACAGAGAGACAGACAGACAGAGAGAGAGACAGAGAGACAGAGAGACAGAGAGAGAGAGAGAGAGAGGCAGAGGGAGGAGCAGGCUCCGGGCAGGGAGCCCGACGUGGGACUCGAUCCCGGGACCCCAGCGUCAGGCCCUGGGCCGAAGGCAGGUGCUACCCCGCGGAGCCCCCCGGGCUGCCCCCCUAUUAAGUAGCUCUGCACCACACGAGCCCGGCUCGGCCGCGGAGACCCAGGGCCGCACGCUCCAGGGGCUGCGCCAGCCCGGCCCCCCACUUAGACCUCCUUAAAUCCUGGUUAGUUUAGGAAUUCUCGGGAGCUUCAUAAAAACCAGCACUUCAGCCCCCCCGUGACAGGCUUAGCUCUGGGAGGCAGGAGCGAGGCACUUAGGCAACCGCUUCACUGACGCUGCUGUGCUGCUACCAGGCCCCACUCGGAAACCGUUUCAGUGGCUCCAGGACAGCUGUCCCCCGCCGGCCGCUCCCUCAUGUCCUCCGCGUCGCCCCACCCCAGGCCUGGCCGCUGCCAGGUGUCAGCUCCCAGCAGCUUCCGAGGCCGAGGUGACCUACUCCGUCAGAGAUGCUCUCCCGGGCGGCCGCGGCGAGCCGUACCCCAGGGACCUCCCCCAGCUCUGACCAAGCAAUGCAUCAGCAGGAACCUUUAUUUUUAUUUUAUUUUAUUAUUUUAAAGAUUUUAAUUAUCUGACACAGAGCGAGCGAGCGAGCGAGUGGCGAGCACGAGCAGGGGGAGAGGGAGAGGCAGACGCCCCACAGCUCCAUCCCGGCCGGAUCAUGAGCAGAGCUGCAGGCAGCCCCCCAGGAGCCCCCCAGGAGCCCCCCAGGAGCCCCCCAGGAGCCCCCCAGGAGCCCCCCAGGAGCCCCCCAGGCGCCGCCAGCAGGAGCUUUCAGGGCGCGCGUUCCCAAUACCGCGCUUCUCACCCAGGAUUCUGUCUACGGGCUAAUGUUACACACACUGUAGCACCCACGUAAGCCAACAGAUGGAUUCAAGAACCGGGCGCCUGGGGGCUAUGAUUUUGCUGGAGCUUGCUUGUCCCGAAUUGUAAGUCUCUCUUAUUCCCAAAUAAACGCAUCUUUCGCUGAUAAAAUAAACUGGCG
This is a long non-coding RNA of Vulpes vulpes (red fox), 1663 nucleotides long. NCBI's taxonomy places the organism in Eukaryota, Metazoa, Chordata, Mammalia, Carnivora, Canidae. The record is from Ensembl.